RNAcentral lists this transfer RNA (73 nucleotides) under Dermacentor andersoni. RNAcentral describes it as "transfer RNA serine (anticodon UGA)". It matches the Rfam family "tRNA". Rfam says of the family: Transfer RNA (tRNA) molecules are approximately 80 nucleotides in length. Lineage: Eukaryota; Metazoa; Arthropoda; Arachnida; Ixodida; Ixodidae. The record is from RNAcentral.
GCCGCUGUAGCUCAAUUGGUAGAGCAUUGCACGUGAAAUGCGAAGGUUGUGGGAUCGGUUCCCACCUGCGGCA